CCACUCCCCCUUUCCUCAUCUGAUGCCUUCUCGCGAGGCAUUCACACAACUACCUCCGACUAUGGUCACCGACAAGGAGUGGCCGGACGAUCGGCCUCUGUCGGAUGCCGUCAACACCAUUUCGGGAGGAUCCCAGCGGGAAGCAACCAACGUACCGGCUGUAUCCCCCAAGCGACAAAAGAUUGAAAAGAUUGAAGAACCUAUAACCUUUACCGAAGAAGACACCC
RNAcentral lists this long non-coding RNA (227 nucleotides) under Elaeis guineensis (African oil palm). Its description in RNAcentral is "long non-coding RNA (EGUI_LNC082897)". The record is from RNAcentral. Lineage: Eukaryota; Viridiplantae; Streptophyta; Magnoliopsida; Arecales; Arecaceae.